RNAcentral lists this unclassified non-coding RNA (907 nucleotides) under Hevea brasiliensis (rubber tree). The record is from RNAcentral. Lineage: Eukaryota; Viridiplantae; Streptophyta; Magnoliopsida; Malpighiales; Euphorbiaceae.
AUGACAAGGUGCUUCAGACGUAAUUUAGAAUAACGAUUUUUGAGGAAAUUUGCCUGCAAAUUCAUUCUUGUAUCAUGGCAUAUGAUAUUUUGCAGUAGAUGAGGCAAUUUAUAUGAAGCAAAUGACAGUUAGUGUUUUAUAUUGAUAUCUCACCAAUGUGAACUCUUCCUGUUUUGUGUGUUUAUAUUAUAAAAUGUCGGUAGAUAUCCUUUAUUAGAUUCAGUUGUUGAUCAUUAGCAUCUUACUAUCUUCAGAGGAUACAUGUCUCCUGAGGAUACACUGGGUGGGAUAUUUUCUGAAAAGUCUGACGUGGUCAGCUUUGGAGUCUUGAUAUUGGAAAUUGUCUAUGGCAAGAAGAACAACAGUUUCUGUAAUGAUGAACAAUAUUUAAGCCUCCCUGCUUAUGCAUGGAAAUUGUGGUCUGAAAGCAAUGCUUUGAACUUGAUGGAUGAAGCAUUAGCCGACUAAUUUUCAUCAUCUCAGGUAAUGAGAUGUACUCAAAGCGCACUUCUUUGUGUUCAAGACCAAGCUGCAGAUAGGCCAACUACGGCAGCUGUAGUUUCCAUGCUGAGCGGCAAAGAAACAUUUCCACGACUCAAUGAACCAACUGUUCUGUUUCAAAUUGCUUUAAAAACACUGUUCAGAAGGAAAGAAGCUAUAUAUGUUGUACAAAUGAGAUGAGUAUGUCCCCAUUUGAAGGUGGAUAACUCCAUCCUUAAGCCCCUUCUAAUUAAAAGGGGAGGAUGCACUUUUUUAUGUAGACCAGGUGCAUUCAAAAUGGAUAGCUCACAGGCAUUCUGGGUUUGCUUUAAAACAACAUUUUCAGCAAAUGAGAGUAAAAUGAUGAGCCAUUCUGGUCUAUGUUCCAACAACAACCAAGAUUUUUAUUUUAUUUUUAUCAUUUUAU